CCAUUUAACCUAUUUAAAAUGGCGGCAUUUUAUUUUAUUAGAGGAACCUGUUUAUUAAUCGACAAUCCACGAUAAUUUUAACUUAUUUUUUUUUAUAAAAUUUAUAUACCAUCAUCUUAAGAAUUAAUUCAAUAAUUCUAUUCCUAAUAAUUAAAAUAGAAAGUUAGAUCAAGGUGUAAUUUAUAUUUAAGUAUAAAUGGGUUACUUUAAAUAAAAUUCAAGGAUUUUUCUUUUAAAAAAUUAAAUAAAAUAGGAUCUAAAAGUAAUUAAAUAAUAAUAUUUUUUUAUGAAUAAAAUUAUAAAUGUGUACAC
This 312-nucleotide ribosomal RNA is filed under the name Barrisca nannella. RNAcentral describes it as "partial 12S ribosomal RNA". Lineage: Eukaryota; Metazoa; Arthropoda; Arachnida; Araneae; Trechaleidae. The record is from RNAcentral.